UUUUCCAUAAAAAUUAAAAUCAUACAGUUCAACCAAGUAACCAAUGCUGAUCUCAAUUUUUUUUUGUUUAAAUGCUCUUGAUUUUACAUACCCAGAAUUGAAAAUCAUGACUUUAACAAACCAAACAAGCACAUAUUGAAAAUUAUGAAAUGGGGGUUUUAAAUUUAAGACUCUGAUUCAUUAUUUUCAUCCUAAGCCUACAAUCGACACAAAAAACAUUGACCAGGAGUGGAAUCACAAUUAUUUACAGCUAAAAAAUAAACUACGGCGUAAAACCUAAACGAGAAAUCAAAGAUAGAAGAAAAGGAAACUGGGCUUCUUUAUUAGAAGUGAAAGAG
Molecule: long non-coding RNA, 338 nt
Organism: Populus euphratica (Euphrates poplar)
Lineage: Eukaryota; Viridiplantae; Streptophyta; Magnoliopsida; Malpighiales; Salicaceae
Exons: 2
Source: RefSeq, a predicted model, not a curated record